GGUGAACGUUGGCGGUGCGUCUAAUACAUGCAAGUCGAGCGAGGCUUCGAGCCGAGCGGCAGACGGCUGAGUAACACGUUGGUAACUGCCUCAAACUCAGGGGUAACGCCGAGAAAUCGGUGCUAAUACCGGAUGGUCCCGUAAGGGUAAAGUUUUUACGGUUUGAGAGGUGCCUGCGUCCUAUCAGGUAGUUGGUGAGGUAACGGCUCACCAAGCCUAUGACGGGUAACUGGUCUGAGAGGAUGACCAGUCAGAGGGAAACUGAGACACGGUUCCCACUUCUACGGAAGGCAGCAGUAAAGAAUCUUCCACAAUGGACGAAAGUCUGAUGGAGCGACACCGCGUGCAGGAUGAAGGCCCUUGGGUCGUAAACUGCUUUUUUGGGGGAAAAAUUCUGAUUGUACCCUAAGAAUAAGCACCGGCAAAUCACGUG
This 433-nucleotide ribosomal RNA is filed under the name uncultured bacterium. RNAcentral describes it as "partial 16S ribosomal RNA". It matches the Rfam family "Bacterial small subunit ribosomal RNA", at positions 28 to 507 of the family's 1533-position model. The record is from RNAcentral.